CCCCUCUCAGGGUCGCACCUGGAGAGUUUCCAGUACUUUACUAGUCUCAACUACAGGAGGGAGAGUUAAGUAGAGGCAUACCCAUUCCAUUCCUAGCUUGGGCAGUGGCUAGUGAGUGGAAGGCAAUUUGCUACAAGU
Ornithorhynchus anatinus (platypus) is the source of this 138-nucleotide non-coding RNA. The record is from Rfam. NCBI's taxonomy places the organism in Eukaryota, Metazoa, Chordata, Mammalia, Monotremata, Ornithorhynchidae.